This 331-nucleotide ribosomal RNA is filed under the name uncultured Streptococcus sp. Its description in RNAcentral is "bacterial SSU rRNA". It matches the Rfam family "Bacterial small subunit ribosomal RNA", at positions 1051 to 1382 of the family's 1533-position model. Lineage: Bacteria; Bacillati; Bacillota; Bacilli; Lactobacillales; Streptococcaceae. The record is from RNAcentral.
GUCGUCAGCUCGUGUCGUGAGAUGUUGGGUUAAGUCCCGCAACGAGCGCAACCCCUAUUGUUAGUUGCCAUCAUUCAGUUGGGCACUCUAGCGAGACUGCCGGUAAUAAACCGGAGGAAGGUGGGGAUGACGUCAAAUCAUCAUGCCCCUUAUGACCUGGGCUACACACGUGCUACAAUGGUUGGUACAACGAGUUGCGAGUCGGUGACGGCGAGCUAAUCUCUUAAAGCCAAUCUCAGUUCGGAUUGUAGGCUGCAACUCGCCUACAUGAAGUCGGAAUCGCUAGUAAUCGCGGACCAGCACGCCGCGGUCGAGUACGUUCCCGGGCCUU